Molecule: ribosomal RNA, 245 nt
Filed under: Kalyptogaster erronea
Lineage: Eukaryota; Metazoa; Arthropoda; Insecta; Odonata; Cordulegastridae
Description: partial 12S ribosomal RNA
Source: RNAcentral
GGAAGAGUGAAUAUUAUUGGUUUAAUAGUUAAAUUUUUAAAAGUUUAUAAAAUAAUAAUUUUUAGGUGAAAUUUAUAAUUAUUAAUUAAAAAUUUAUAUUGAAGCUAUGAAAUUUAUAUUAAAAACAAGGAUUAGAUACCCUUUUAUUAUAAAUGUAAAUAUAAACCUGGGUAGUAUUAGUUAUGAUCUUGAAACCCAAAGGAUUUGGCGGUAUUUUAAUCUAAUCAGAGGAGCCUGUCCUGUAA